Molecule: ribosomal RNA, 374 nt
Filed under: uncultured bacterium
Lineage: Bacteria
Description: bacterial SSU rRNA
Rfam family: Bacterial small subunit ribosomal RNA
Source: RNAcentral
ACGAACCGUGCGAACGUUAUUCGGAAUCACUGGGCUUAAAGCGCGUGUAGGCGGGCCGCCCCGUCGGCUGCUGAAAUCCCCCGGCUCAACCGGGGAAGUGGCACCGAUACGAGCGGCCUCGAGGGGGGUAGGGGGGUCUGGAACUUCCGGUGGAGCGGUGAAAUGCGUUGAGAUCGGAAGGAACGCCCGUGGCGAAAGCGAGGCCCUGGACCCUUACUGACGCUGAGACGCGAAAGCCAGGGGAGCGAACGGGAUUAGAUACCCCGGUAGUCCUGGCCGUAAACGAUGAACACUGGGUAGGGGGCUCGCCGAUGGGCUCCCUGCCGUAGGGAAACCGUGAAGUGUUCCGCCUGGGGAGUAUGGUCGCAAGGCUG